This 669-nucleotide ribosomal RNA is filed under the name Pseudomonas sp. RNAcentral describes it as "bacterial SSU rRNA". It matches the Rfam family "Bacterial small subunit ribosomal RNA", at positions 52 to 717 of the family's 1533-position model. The record is from RNAcentral. Lineage: Bacteria; Pseudomonadati; Pseudomonadota; Gammaproteobacteria; Pseudomonadales; Pseudomonadaceae.
CUCAUGCAGUCGAGCGGAUGAAGAGAGCUUGCUCUCUGAUUCAGCGGCGGACGGGUGAGUAAUGCCUAGGAAUCUGCCUGGUAGUGGGGGACAACGUUUCGAAAGGAACGCUAAUACCGCAUACGUCCUACGGGAGAAAGCAGGGGACCUUCGGGCCUUGCGCUAUCAGAUGAGCCUAGGUCGGAUUAGCUAGUUGGUGAGGUAAUGGCUCACCAAGGCGACGAUCCGUAACUGGUCUGAGAGGAUGAUCAGUCACACUGGAACUGAGACACGGUCCAGACUCCUACGGGAGGCAGCAGUGGGGAAUAUUGGACAAUGGGCGAAAGCCUGAUCCAGCCAUGCCGCGUGUGUGAAGAAGGUCUUCGGAUUGUAAAGCACUUUAAGUUGGGAGGAAGGGCAUUAACCUAAUACGUUAGUGUUUUGACGUUACCGACAGAAUAAGCACCGGCUAACUCUGUGCCAGCAGCCGCGGUAAUACAGAGGGUGCAAGCGUUAAUCGGAAUUACUGGGCGUAAAGCGCGCGUAGGUGGUUUGUUAAGUUGGAUGUGAAAGCCCCGGGCUCAACCUGGGAACUGCAUUCAAAACUGACAAGCUAGAGUAUGGUAGAGGGUGGUGGAAUUUCCUGUGUAGCGGUGAAAUGCGUAGAUAUAGGAAGGAACACCAGUGGCG